GCGACUAAGCGUACACGGUGGAUGCCCUGGCAGUCAGAGGCGAUGAAGGACGUGCUAAUCUGCGAUAAGCGUCGGUAAGGUGAUAUGAACCGUUAUAACCGGCGAUUUCCGAAUGGGGAAACCCAGUGUGUUUCGACACACUAUCAUUAACUGAAUCCAUAGGUUAAUGAGGCGAACCGGGGGAACUGAAACAUCUAAGUACCCCGAGGAAAAGAAAUCAACCGAGAUUCCCCCAGUAGCGGCGAGCGAACGGGGAGCAGCCCAGAGCCUGAAUCAGUGUGUGUGUUAGUGGAAGCGUCUGGAAAGGCGCGCGAUACAGGGUGACAGCCCCGUACACAAAAAUGCACAUGCUGUGAGCUCGAUGAGUAGGGCGGGACACGUGGUAUCCUGUCUGAAUAUGGGGGGACCAUCCUCCAAGGCUAAAUACUCCUGACUGACCGAUAGUGAACCAGUACCGUGAGGGAAAGGCGAAAAGAACCCCGGCGAGGGGAGUGAAAAAGAACCUGAAACCGUGUACGUACAAGCAGUGGGAGCACGCUUAGGCGUGUGACUGCGUACCUUUUGUAUAAUGGGUCAGCGACUUAUAUUCUGUAGCAAGGUUAACCGAAUAGGGGAGCCGAAGGGAAACCGAGUCUUAACUGGGCGUUAAGUUGCAGGGUAUAGACCCGAAACCCGGUGAUCUAGCCAUGGGCAGGUUGAAGGUUGGGUAACACUAACUGGAGGACCGAACCGACUAAUGUUGAAAAAUUAGCGGAUGACUUGUGGCUGGGGGUGAAAGGCCAAUCAAACCGGGAGAUAGCUGGUUCUCCCCGAAAGCUAUUUAGGUAGCGCCUCGUGAAUUCAUCUCCGGGGGUAGAGCACUGUUUCGGCAAGGGGGUCAUCCCGACUUACCAACCCGAUGCAAACUGCGAAUACCGGAGAAUGUUAUCACGGGAGACACACGGCGGGUGCUAACGUCCGUCGUGAAGAGGGAAACAACCCAGACCGCCAGCUAAGGUCCCAAAGUCAUGGUUAAGUGGGAAACGAUGUGGGAAGGCCCAGACAGCCAGGAUGUUGGCUUAGAAGCAGCCAUCAUUUAAAGAAAGCGUAAUAGCUCACUGGUCGAGUCGGCCUGCGCGGAAGA
This 1123-nucleotide ribosomal RNA is filed under the name Escherichia coli. Its description in RNAcentral is "partial 23S ribosomal RNA". It matches the Rfam family "Bacterial large subunit ribosomal RNA", at positions 1 to 1170 of the family's 2925-position model. The record is from RNAcentral. Lineage: Bacteria; Pseudomonadati; Pseudomonadota; Gammaproteobacteria; Enterobacterales; Enterobacteriaceae.